This 463-nucleotide ribosomal RNA is filed under the name uncultured bacterium. RNAcentral's name for it is "partial 16S ribosomal RNA". It matches the Rfam family "Bacterial small subunit ribosomal RNA", at positions 355 to 828 of the family's 1533-position model. The record is from RNAcentral.
UGGGGAAUAUUGCACAAUGGGCGCAAGCCUGAUGCAGCAACGCCGCGUGAGGGACGACGGCCUUCGGGUUGUAAACCUCUUUUAGUAGGGAAGAAGCGAAAGUGACGGUACCUGCAGAAAAAGCACCGGCUAACUACGUGCCAGCAGCCGCGGUAAUACGUAGGGUGCGAGCGUUGUCCGGAAUUAUUGGGCGUAAAGAGCUCGUAGGCGGUCUGUCGCGUCUGCUGUGAAAACCCGAGGCUCAACCUCGGGCCCUGCAGUGGGUACGGGCAGACUAGAGUGCGGUAGGGGAGAAUGGAAUUCCUGGUGUAGCGGUGGAAUGCGCAGAUAUCAGGAGGAACACCGAUGGCGAAGGCAGUUCUCUGGGCCGUAACUGACGCUGAGGAGCGAAAGCGUGGGGAGCGAACAGGAUUAGAUACCCUGGUAGUCCACGCCGUAAAACGUUGGGCGCUAGAUGUGGGGG